GACGAACGCUGGCGGCGUGCUUAACACAUGCAAGUCGAACGAUGAAGCCGGAGCUUGCUCUGGUGAAUUAGUGGCGAACGGGUGAGUAACACGUGAGUAACCUGCCCCUGACUCUGGGAUAACUGCUAGAAAUGGUAGCUAAUACCGGAUACGACCCUCGGCGGCAUCGCCAAGGGGUGGAAAGAAUUUCGGUCAAGGAUGGACUCGCGGCCUAUCAGCUAGUUGGUGAGGUAACGGCUCACCAAGGCGACGACGGGUAGCCGGCCUGAGAGGGUGACCGGCCACACUGGGACUGAGACACGGCCCAGACUCCUACGGGAGGCAGCAGUGGGGAAUAUUGCACAAUGGGCGCAAGCCUGAUGCAGCAACGCCGCGUGAGGGAUGACGGCCUUCGGGUUGUAAACCUCUUUUAGUAGGGAAGAAGCGAAAGUGACGGUACCUGCAGAAAAAGCACCGGCUAACUACGUGCCAGCCGCCGCCGUAA
RNAcentral lists this ribosomal RNA (484 nucleotides) under uncultured bacterium. RNAcentral's name for it is "partial 16S ribosomal RNA". It matches the Rfam family "Bacterial small subunit ribosomal RNA", at positions 28 to 523 of the family's 1533-position model. The record is from RNAcentral.